AACGAACGCUGGCGGCGCGCUUAACACAUGCAAGUCGAACGAGAAGGCGUAGCAAUACGCUUGUACAGUGGCGAACGGGUGAGUAAUACGUGGGCGACCUACCCUCGAGUGGGGAAUAACCCGCCGAAAGGCGGGCUAAUGCCGCGUACGCUUCCAUCUUUAUGGAGGUGGAAGGAAAGCCGUGCUGUGGGCACGGCGCUCAAGGAUGGGCUCACGUCCUAUCAGCUUGUUGGAGGGUAACGGCCUACCAAGGCUCCGACGGGUAGCUGGUCUGAGAGGACGAUCAGCCACACUGGCACUGCGACACGGGCCAGACUCCUACGGGAGGCAGCAGUGAGGAAUAUUGCGCAAUGGGCGAAAGCCUGACGCAGCGACGCCGCGUGGGGGAUGAAGGUC
This 396-nucleotide ribosomal RNA is filed under the name uncultured bacterium. Its description in RNAcentral is "bacterial SSU rRNA". It matches the Rfam family "Bacterial small subunit ribosomal RNA", at positions 29 to 416 of the family's 1533-position model. The record is from RNAcentral.